UGGGGAAUUUUGGACAAUGGGGGAAACCCUGAUCCAGCCAUCCCGCGUGUGCGAUGAAGGCCUUCGGGUUGUAAAGCACUUUUGGCAGGAAAGAAACGUCGCGGGUUAAUACCCCGCGAAACUGACGGUACCUGCAGAAUAAGCACCGGCUAACUACGUGCCAGCAGCCGCGGUAAUACGUAGGGUGCAAGCGUUAAUCGGAAUUACUGGGCGUAAAGCGUGCGCAGGCGGUUCGGAAAGAAAGAUGUGAAAUCCCAGAGCUUAACUUUGGAACUGCAUUUUUAACUACCGGGCUAGAGUGUGUCAGAGGGAGGUGGAAUUCCGCGUGUAGCAGUGAAAUGCGUAGAUAUGCGGAGGAACACCGAUGGCGAAGGCAGCCUCCUGGGAUAACACUGACGCUCAUGCACGAAGGCGUGGGGAGCAAACAGGAUUAGAUACCCUGGUAGUCCACGCCCUAAACGAUGUCAACUAGCUGUUGGGGCCUUCGGGCCUUGGUAGCGCAGCUAACGCGUGAAGUUGACCGCCUGGGGAGUACGGUCGCAAGAUUAAAACUCAAAUGAAUUGACGGGGUCAUAGCUGUUUCCU
Molecule: ribosomal RNA, 585 nt
Filed under: uncultured bacterium
Lineage: Bacteria
Description: partial 16S ribosomal RNA
Rfam family: Bacterial small subunit ribosomal RNA
Source: RNAcentral